CAGCCAUCCCCCCUUCUCUUGCGGAGCGCCACCGCAACACCUCUGGGCCUCCCCGACGGCCAUGAGGUAAACACCAAUCGCCGCCGUCCAGCUAAAGGAAAAAAACACCAAUCGCCGCCGCCGCCGUCGGCCUCCGUCCGCCGCCACGAUGAACCGCGUCAAGACGGCUCUCCUCUCCGGACACCGUCCGCACAGUCUCGCGGCGGCUCCACAGCAGCUGGCGGCCGCCGCGUCGUUCCACUCCACCCCCGUCCUGCAGCGGAAGCGCAAGACCCAGUGGCACCACAGGUUCAAUUAUUACACGAAAUGUAGGAGGAACAGAGAAACUAAAAGGACGAUGCUACGGAAUAUGUCGGAGUAUGCAGAUUACCUCUUCCAGAGUUGGCGCGAUGAAGAUGAGAAAACUGAUGCUUCUAGUGGGCCUUCAUGGUUUAGAGGACACCGUUGGGUUCGGAAUUCGAACAAUAAUGGUUUUCAUUCACAUGAUUUUUAUUAUGGAAAUUUCAGAAGCAGAGGAGGAUUCGAGUUUUGCACGAGUGAUGAGGAUGAACCAGAGACUCUUUUUCGUAAUGCUUUUCGGCAGCAGCACACAUAUUAUUGGUCUUUUUCCAAAGAUAGUUUUCAGUGGAGGAACUCCAGACGUGCUCACUCAGAAAACUCCAGAAAUUGGAGUUAUGAAACAGACGAUGAGGACGAUGUAUCUGCUCCAUCAGAAGUAUCUUUGGCACGGCAAGCUCUUGGAUUGAGUAUUUCUGGUCCACUAAAACUCGAAGAUGUUAAAAGCGCGUACCGGACAUGUGCACUUAGAUGGCAUCCAGAUCGCCACAAUGGGUCAUCUAAGGCUAAAGCAGAGGAGAAAUUCAAGCAUUGCAGUGCAGCAUACAAGACCUUAUGUGAUAGUUUGGCAACUGCAUAAAUAAUUUUGAAUGAAGAUCUGAGCUGCAUUAGUCCCUUUCAAACUUUGUAGCUGCAACUCUGAAGAGCCACCAUGUGUUUGCGAAAGCUCCUACCGCCGCAAUACCAAGAAUUGCUUUGCUCUUGCCUCUUGGAGGAAUCGAGUCAGCCCAAAAUUGAUCAAAUAAGACAAGUACUGUACCUUGUAAAAAGGAUCUCACAGGUUAUUGUUGUAUUUUCAGAGAACUGGAUCGCAUGGACAUUUUCUGUGAGCUGCUCUGGAAAUAGCUUGUUGGUUUUGAAGGUGUCCCAAUAGUACAGGAGUUGACAGAUUAAUAGGUACUGAUGCGCAAUUUCAGAUCAUCAGUUCAGACAUGCUUAGCUAAGAUAUACUCGUUCUUUAGUGAAUAUACUCUUUUAGAGUAGACGUUUUGGGUGGGUGCAAUAAAUGGCUGAACAUUGACCAUUGAUAUCGUUUUAUAUCU
This is an RNA transcript of Phragmites australis (common reed), 1379 nucleotides long. RefSeq lists it as uncharacterized. Lineage: Eukaryota; Viridiplantae; Streptophyta; Magnoliopsida; Poales; Poaceae. The transcript is spliced from 7 exons. The record is from RefSeq and is a predicted model, not a curated record.